RNAcentral lists this transfer RNA (72 nucleotides) under Ornithorhynchus anatinus (platypus). It matches the Rfam family "tRNA". Rfam says of the family: Transfer RNA (tRNA) molecules are approximately 80 nucleotides in length. The record is from Rfam by way of RNAcentral. Lineage: Eukaryota; Metazoa; Chordata; Mammalia; Monotremata; Ornithorhynchidae.
AGCAGUGUGGCUUAGUGGAAAGAGCCCGGGCUUGGGAGUCAGAGGUUGUGGGUUCUGAUCCCGCCUCUGCAA